This 777-nucleotide long non-coding RNA is filed under the name Pan troglodytes (chimpanzee). RNAcentral's name for it is "long non-coding RNA NONPTRT003317". Lineage: Eukaryota; Metazoa; Chordata; Mammalia; Primates; Hominidae. The record is from RNAcentral.
CCCACAGGCUCUUAUCCUCUUCACUUCCCGCUGCAACCCCCAGGGACUGCAGGGCCUUUCUCAGGACCCUCUUCCCCGACACCUGUAUUGCAUGCGCCUUUCGCGGGAAGAGGAGGGACACACGUUUGGGAGCGAGUGGGACCUUGGGGAAGGGGCAGUGUUCAGGCAGCUGGGGUGUUAAGUUGGGGAGGUUUGGGGGCUCUGGAAGAGAGGCCCAGGCAGCCCAUCCUCUUCUUGGCUCCCAGGAGAAAUGCAAGCCUGGCAGCCAUUCCGCUCUGAGGAGAUCUGGGGGAACCCCACCGGCUGGCCAAGCUGCAAAGAGGCGCGGGAACCACUGUCGUGCCCCUCCCCUCCUCACUGCAGUGUUCUCCCAUCUCAUCAUUUGAUCGUACCCCGCCCCCCACUGCAGUGACCUCCCCUUCCUCACUGCAUUGACCUUCUCCUCUUCCCAGGGGGGAGGGGGAAUCCCUUCUACAGCCCUAGACUGCAGCCAGCGCCUCCCUACCCACCCCCCACCCACUGCAGUAACCUCUUUCCCAUCCCUCCCAGCCUCCCGCCCCGCCCAUUGAUCUCAGGCUCCACCCCUCUAAGCCUCUUAUCUUUCUCCUUCCUUCCCUUCCACCCGAGGAGAUCCCAGCCAUCAUGUCCAUAGAGAAGAUCUGGGCCCGGGAGAUCCUGGACUCCCGCGGGAACCCCACAGUGGAGGUGGAUCUCUAUACUGCCAAAGGUCUUUUCCGGGCUGCAGUGCCCAGUGGAGCCUCUACGGGCAUCUAUGAG